This 255-nucleotide ribosomal RNA is filed under the name uncultured prokaryote. Its description in RNAcentral is "partial 16S ribosomal RNA". It matches the Rfam family "Bacterial small subunit ribosomal RNA", at positions 521 to 775 of the family's 1533-position model. The record is from RNAcentral.
UAAUACGUAGGGCGCAAGCGUUAUCCGGAAUUAUUGGGCGUAAAGAGCUCGUAGGCGGUUUGUCGCGUCUGCCGUGAAAGUCCGGGGCUCAACCCCGGAUCUGCGGUGGGUACGGGCAGACUUGAGUGCAGUAGGGGAGACUGGAAUUCCUGGUGUAGCGGUGAAAUGCGCAGAUAUCAGGAGGAACACCGAUGGCGAAGGCAGGUCUCUGGGCUGUAACUGACGCUGAGGAGCGAAAGCAUGGGGAGCGAACAG